This 647-nucleotide ribosomal RNA is filed under the name Entoloma inocephalum. Its description in RNAcentral is "partial large subunit ribosomal RNA". It matches the Rfam family "Eukaryotic large subunit ribosomal RNA", at positions 38 to 668 of the family's 3401-position model. The record is from RNAcentral. Lineage: Eukaryota; Fungi; Basidiomycota; Agaricomycetes; Agaricales; Entolomataceae.
GCAUAUCAAUAAGCGGAGGAAAAGAAACUAACAAGGAUUCCCUUAGUAACUGCGAGUGAAGUGGGAAAAGCUCAAAUUUAAAAUCUGGUAGUUUUUGACUGCCCGAGUUGUAAUCUAGAGAAGUGCUAUCUGCGCUGGACCAUGUUUAAGUCUUCUGGAAUGGAGCAUCAUGGAGGGUGAGAAUCCCGUCUUUGACAUGGACUACCAGGGCUUUGUGAUGUGCUCUCAAAGAGUCGAGUUGUUUGGGAAUGCAGCUCUAAAUGGGUGGUAAAUUCCAUCUAAAGCUAAAUAUUGGCGAGAGACCGAUAGUGAACAAGUACCGUGAGGGAAAGAUGAAAAGAACUUUGGAAAGAGAGUUAAACAGUACGUGAAAUUGUUGAAAGGGAAACGCUUGAAGUCAGUCACAUUGAUUAGGGAUCAACCUUGCUUUUGCUUGGUGUAUUUUCUAGUUGAUGGGUCAGCAUCAAUUUUGACCAGUAGAAAAAGGCUAAAAGAAUGUGGCAUUUUCGAAUGUGUUAUAGCUUUCAGUCAUAUAUAUUGGUUGGAAUUGAGGAACUCAGCAUGCCGCAAGGCCGGAUAUUAAAUCACGUUCAUGCUUAGGAUGCUGGCAUAAUGGCUUUAAUUGACCCGUCUUGAAACACGGACCA